Molecule: transfer-messenger RNA, 355 nt
Filed under: Synergistales bacterium
Lineage: Bacteria; Thermotogati; Synergistota; Synergistia; Synergistales
Rfam family: transfer-messenger RNA
About the family: Bacterial tmRNA, also known as 10Sa RNA or SsrA, is named for its dual tRNA and mRNA-like properties. Its role is to liberate the mRNA from a stalled ribosome. To accomplish this part of the tmRNA is used as a reading frame that ends in a translation stop signal.
Source: RNAcentral
GGGGGCGACAGGUUUCGACGGCGUGUUGGAGGGUCUGGAGGAGCAGGUCGAGUUACGUCCGUAGUUCUCGUUAAACACUCGGGCAAGACGAUAAACGUCGAAGAUAAUUACGCUUUAGCGGCCUAAGCCGCUACGUCGAGGGAUGCGGCUCGUCUACUGGCUCUCCUAAGGCGUCACUUUAGGUGGAUGCUCCGCUCGUUCUUGGUUCCGCGCGGGUGGAAAAGACAAGGAACCUUGGAAUGUGGAAGGCCGUUUUCCGCCUCCCCACGGACGACAAUCAAAGGAAGACUAAACCUGUAGCGCCGCCACGGCUGGCCCACGUCGGACGGGGGUUCGAUUCCCCCCGCCUCCACCA